Molecule: transfer RNA, 65 nt
Filed under: Polydora hoplura
Lineage: Eukaryota; Metazoa; Annelida; Polychaeta; Spionida; Spionidae
Description: tRNA-Thr
Source: RNAcentral
UCCGGAAUAGUAUAAUAUAUUACAUUAGUCUUGUAAACUAAGAAUGAACACUCCUUCUUUCGGAU